This is a long non-coding RNA of Ooceraea biroi (clonal raider ant), 1012 nucleotides long. RefSeq lists it as uncharacterized. The record is from RefSeq and is a predicted model, not a curated record. NCBI's taxonomy places the organism in Eukaryota, Metazoa, Arthropoda, Insecta, Hymenoptera, Formicidae.
UUGGACGUAGAGUAUCUAAGCCAGUCACGUAACUGUAAUUAACGAUUUGUCCGUCGUGUGCCGUUCGCGCACUUGUGCAAAACCAUAGAAUCGAUUAGUGCCAUUAAAAUCAUUAGACGUGAAAAAGGACGAACACGCACCUACCUAACCAGCGUGGUGCCGUUUGCCAUCGGGUUGUAAUACCGUUUAGUAAAUGCGCGCCUGCGCAAGCUUGUACGUAUAUAUCAGUUUCUAAUCUGCGACAGAGUACGGAGGACGUGUUCCGCGCGAGAAUCUUAUGCAUGUAACGAAACAUGCACAUUACGUGCGCGUUCAUCGCGUCUUGCAUAAUUAUGUACGCACGCGGAACGUUGGAGUCCCCCUGAAAUCAUUGCGAGAUGUUCGUAUGCGAAUUACGCCAAGAUGAAGACAAAUGAAGAGAGAACAGUGUGACGACGUCGGGACGAAUGUGACGAGGGAAUUGAAGGCCAUCCCGAAGAAAGACCAUUAUAGAAGCUUCCAACGGUUGAAAGAACGUUCGCAAUGUUGCAUUGACAGCGGGAAGGAUUAUGUUGAACAUUGUAAUUAAUAAAAUGUAUUUCAUUGAUUUCUCAAUUUUGAAUGAAGUUAAUCUCGGAACUUUUUAGAUAGAUCGUAUAAGUAUAAUAUGUAGAACACGCAUUAUUAUUUCCGAGAUUUCUAAGUAUGUUAACACUAGAUUUACCAAGAGGGUCAAAAUGACUUGUCUGGUAUUUUGUUAUACUGAUUAGUCAUUUUUAUUACAUCGUAUUUUUUAUUUUUGUUAAGUACAACAAAAAGUAUAUACAAAUGCACGUUUUUUUAACUAAGUUGUUCUUUUCAAGACCAAGUCAUUUUGAUCUCUCCGAUAGAAAUAGGUAAGUACAUGUAAAUCGUCGGUAGUUCUAGUGUUAAAUAUUGCGUAAAGUAAAAGCUUUCUUAUAAAAUCAAUAAAAGUGUAAUGAUAAAUUUAUAAAUAUACUUUCAGAAUAGAUUAAAUAAACUAGGAAAACAA